GGAAGGAUGGCCAAGCGGUCGAAGGCAGCGGUCUUGAAAACCGCCGAUGGGAAAACAUCCUAGAGUUCGAAUCUCUAUCUUUCUU
Molecule: transfer RNA, 85 nt
Filed under: Arsenophonus endosymbiont of Aleurodicus floccissimus
Lineage: Bacteria; Pseudomonadati; Pseudomonadota; Gammaproteobacteria; Enterobacterales; Morganellaceae
Rfam family: tRNA
About the family: Transfer RNA (tRNA) molecules are approximately 80 nucleotides in length.
Source: Rfam by way of RNAcentral